This 2342-nucleotide long non-coding RNA is filed under the name Homo sapiens (human). RNAcentral's name for it is "non-protein coding H19:24". The stretch from base 1045 to 1117 matches the Rfam family "mir-675 microRNA precursor family". The record is from RNAcentral. Lineage: Eukaryota; Metazoa; Chordata; Mammalia; Primates; Hominidae.
AGUUAGAAAAAGCCCGGGCUAGGACCGAGGAGCAGGGUGAGGGAGGGGGUGGGAUGGGUGGGGGGUAACGGGGGAAACUGGGGAAGUGGGGAACCGAGGGGCAACCAGGGGAAGAUGGGGUGCUGGAGGAGAGCUUGUGGGAGCCAAGGAGCACCUUGGACAUCUGGAGUCUGGCAGGAGUGAUGACGGGUGGAGGGGCUAGCUCGAGGCAGGGCUGGUGGGGCCUGAGGCCAGUGAGGAGUGUGGAGUAGGCGCCCAGGCAUCGUGCAGACAGGGCGACAUCAGCUGGGGACGAUGGGCCUGAGCUAGGGCUGGAAAGAAGGGGGAGCCAGGCAUUCAUCCCGGUCACUUUUGGUUACAGGACGUGGCAGCUGGUUGGACGAGGGGAGCUGGUGGGCAGGGUUUGAUCCCAGGGCCUGGGCAACGGAGGUGUAGCUGGCAGCAGCGGGCAGGUGAGGACCCCAUCUGCCGGGCAGGUGAGUCCCUUCCCUCCCCAGGCCUCGCUUCCCCAGCCUUCUGAAAGAAGGAGGUUUAGGGGAUCGAGGGCUGGCGGGGAGAAGCAGACACCCUCCCAGCAGAGGGGCAGGAUGGGGGCAGGAGAGUUAGCAAAGGUGACAUCUUCUCGGGGGGAGCCGAGACUGCGCAAGGCUGGGGGGUUAUGGGCCCGUUCCAGGCAGAAAGAGCAAGAGGGCAGGGAGGGAGCACAGGGGUGGCCAGCGUAGGGUCCAGCACGUGGGGUGGUACCCCAGGCCUGGGUCAGACAGGGACAUGGCAGGGGACACAGGACAGAGGGGUCCCCAGCUGCCACCUCACCCACCGCAAUUCAUUUAGUAGCAGGCACAGGGGCAGCUCCGGCACGGCUUUCUCAGGCCUAUGCCGGAGCCUCGAGGGCUGGAGAGCGGGAAGACAGGCAGUGCUCGGGGAGUUGCAGCAGGACGUCACCAGGAGGGCGAAGCGGCCACGGGAGGGGGGCCCCGGGACAUUGCGCAGCAAGGAGGCUGCAGGGGCUCGGCCUGCGGGCGCCGGUCCCACGAGGCACUGCGGCCCAGGGUCUGGUGCGGAGAGGGCCCACAGUGGACUUGGUGACGCUGUAUGCCCUCACCGCUCAGCCCCUGGGGCUGGCUUGGCAGACAGUACAGCAUCCAGGGGAGUCAAGGGCAUGGGGCGAGACCAGACUAGGCGAGGCGGGCGGGGCGGAGUGAAUGAGCUCUCAGGAGGGAGGAUGGUGCAGGCAGGGGUGAGGAGCGCAGCGGGCGGCGAGCGGGAGGCACUGGCCUCCAGAGCCCGUGGCCAAGGCGGGCCUCGCGGGCGGCGACGGAGCCGGGAUCGGUGCCUCAGCGUUCGGGCUGGAGACGAGGCCAGGUCUCCAGCUGGGGUGGACGUGCCCACCAGCUGCCGAAGGCCAAGACGCCAGGUCCGGUGGACGUGACAAGCAGGACAUGACAUGGUCCGGUGUGACGGCGAGGACAGAGGAGGCGCGUCCGGCCUUCCUGAACACCUUAGGCUGGUGGGGCUGCGGCAAGAAGCGGGUCUGUUUCUUUACUUCCUCCACGGAGUCGGCACACUAUGGCUGCCCUCUGGGCUCCCAGAACCCACAACAUGAAAGAAAUGGUGCUACCCAGCUCAAGCCUGGGCCUUUGAAUCCGGACACAAAACCCUCUAGCUUGGAAAUGAAUAUGCUGCACUUUACAACCACUGCACUACCUGACUCAGGAAUCGGCUCUGGAAGCUAGAGGAACCAGACCUCAUCAGCCCAACAUCAAAGACACCAUCGGAACAGCAGCGCCCGCAGCACCCACCCCGCACCGGCGACUCCAUCUUCAUGGCCACCCCCUGCGGCGGACGGUUGACCACCAGCCACCACAUCAUCCCAGAGCUGAGCUCCUCCAGCGGGAUGACGCCGUCCCCACCACCUCCCUCUUCUUCUUUUUCAUCCUUCUGUCUCUUUGUUUCUGAGCUUUCCUGUCUUUCCUUUUUUCUGAGAGAUUCAAAGCCUCCACGACUCUGUUUCCCCCGUCCCUUCUGAAUUUAAUUUGCACUAAGUCAUUUGCACUGGUUGGAGUUGUGGAGACGGCCUUGAGUCUCAGUACGAGUGUGCGUGAGUGUGAGCCACCUUGGCAAGUGCCUGUGCAGGGCCCGGCCGCCCUCCAUCUGGGCCGGGUGACUGGGCGCCGGCUGUGUGCCCGAGGCCUCACCCUGCCCUCGCCUAGUCUGGAAGCUCCGACCGACAUCACGGAGCAGCCUUCAAGCAUUCCAUUACGCCCCAUCUCGCUCUGUGCCCCUCCCCACCAGGGCUUCAGCAGGAGCCCUGGACUCAUCAUCAAUAAACACUGUUACAGCAA